ACGGGAGGCAGCAGUGGGGGAUAUUGCACAAUGGGGGGAACCCUGAUGCAGCGACGCCGCGUGGGUGAAGAAGCGCCUCGGCGCGUAAAGCCCUGUCAGCAGGGAAGAAAAUGACGGUACCUGAAGAAGAAGCCCCGGCUAACUACGUGCCAGCAGCCGCGGUAAUACGUAGGGGGCAAGCGUUAUCCGGAUUUACUGGGUGUAAAGGGGGCGCAGACGGCGAUGCAAGCCAGGAGUGAAAGCCCGGGGCCCAACCCCGGGACUGCUCUUGGAACUGCGUGGCUGGAGUGCAGUAGGGGCAGGCG
This 305-nucleotide ribosomal RNA is filed under the name uncultured bacterium. RNAcentral describes it as "bacterial SSU rRNA". It matches the Rfam family "Bacterial small subunit ribosomal RNA", at positions 341 to 663 of the family's 1533-position model. The record is from RNAcentral.